RNAcentral lists this ribosomal RNA (434 nucleotides) under uncultured bacterium. RNAcentral describes it as "partial 16S ribosomal RNA". It matches the Rfam family "Bacterial small subunit ribosomal RNA", at positions 29 to 507 of the family's 1533-position model. The record is from RNAcentral.
AGCGAACGCUGGCGGCAGGCCUAACACAUGCAAGUCGAACGAACCCUUCGGGGUUAGUGGCGGACGGGGGAGUAACACGUGGGAACGUGCCUUUAGGUUCGGAAUAACUCAGGGAAACUUGUGCUAAUACCGAGUGUGUCCUUCGGGGGAAAGAUUUAUCGCCUUUAGGGCGGCCCGCGUCUGGUUAGCUAGUUGGUUGAGGUUAUGGCUCACCAAGGCGACGAUCCGUAGCUGGUCUGAGAGGAAGAUUCGGCACCUUGGGGCUGGGACACGGCCCCAACUCCUGCGGGAGGCAGCCAUGGGGAAUCUUGCGCAAUGGGCCGAAGCCUGACGCAGCCAUGGCGCGUGAAUGAUGAAGGUCUUAAGAUUGUAAAAUUCUUUCACCCGGGACGAUAAUGACGGUACCCGGAGAAGAAGCCCCGGCUAACUUCGUG